GGGCAAGCUAGGCUGGUGCAUUAGCCCUGUACUGUAACCGUCAACGGGCUUUACGACGGGGCCGAAGUCUUGGAAGAGGUAUGGAUUAUGGUUAUUGGUCCUGUCUCGGACGUCGACGCUUUGUCCUCUUUGACCAGUGUCUUAAUGAACCAGGUCAGGGUGGGAACACAGCAGCCUUAAGUUUUGAUAUUGGUGCUUAGGGGGUCGCGAAGCUGAGGAAGAGAUAGGGGUUACUGGUAAUCAUAGCCCAUAUCCAUUCCAGGAUGUGCUUGCCU
Molecule: signal recognition particle RNA, 275 nt
Filed under: Candidatus Woesearchaeota archaeon
Lineage: Archaea; Nanobdellati; Candidatus Woesearchaeota
Description: signal recognition particle sRNA
Rfam family: Archaeal signal recognition particle RNA
Source: RNAcentral